Molecule: ribosomal RNA, 466 nt
Filed under: uncultured bacterium
Lineage: Bacteria
Description: bacterial SSU rRNA
Rfam family: Bacterial small subunit ribosomal RNA
Source: RNAcentral
UGGCGGCGUGCCUAACACAUGCAAGUCGAGCGAUGAAAUCCUUCGGGAUGAAUAGCGGCGGACGGGUGAGUAACACGUGGGUAACCUGCCUUGUAGAGGGGGAUAGCCUUCCGAAAGGAAGAUUAAUACCGCAUAACAUCUUUUUAUCGCAUGGUAGAAAGAUCAAAAGGAGUAAUCCGCUACAAGAUGGACCCGCGGCGCAUUAGCUAGUUGGUGAGGUAACGGCUCACCAAGGCGACGAUGCGUAGCCGACCUGAGAGGGUGAUCGGCCACAUUGGAACUGAGACACGGUCCAGACUCCUACGGGAGGCAGCAGUGGGGAAUAUUGCGCAAUGGGGGGAAAAACCCCUGACGCAGCAACGCCGCGUGAAUGAAGAAGGCCUUAGGGUUGUAAAGUUCUGUUUACGGGGACGAUAAUGACGGUACCCGUGGAGGAAGCCACGGCUAACUACGUGCCAGCCGCAGC